GAGUGGGGAGGAGAGAGGGACAGAGAGCCUGCUUGCUUUAAAGGAGCAAAGCAGGAGAGGAGAGGAGCCGCUUACACUCGUGUAAGCGGCUCCUGUCCGGUUGGCUCCUUUAAAGCAAGCAGGCUCUCUGUCCCUCUCUCCUCCCCACUCA
This 151-nucleotide microRNA precursor is filed under the name Podarcis lilfordi (Lilford's wall lizard). Lineage: Eukaryota; Metazoa; Chordata; Lepidosauria; Squamata; Lacertidae. The record is from RNAcentral.